AACGAACGCUGGCGGCGCGUCUUAAGCAUGCAAGUCGGACGGCAAGGGUAGCAAUACCCCUAGAGUGGCGGACUGGUGAGUAACGCGUGGGUGACCUACCCGUGAGAUGGGGAUAGCCAUUAGAAAUAGUGGAUAAUACCGAAUACGCUCGCGAGACUGUGGGUUUGCGAGGAAAUCAGGCUACGGCCUGGCUCGAGGCUGGGCCCGCGUCCCAUUAGCUAGUUGGUGAGGUAAAAGCCGACCAAGGCGACGAGGGGUAUCCGGCUUGAGAGGGUGUACGGACACAUUGGGACUGAGAUACGGCCCAAACUCCUACGGGAGGCAGCAGCUAAGAAUAUUCCGCAAUGGACGAAAGUCUGACGGAGCGACGCCGCGUGGAUGAAGAAGGCCGAAAGGUUGUAAAAUCCUUUUGCUGAUGAAGAAUAAGUGUGGUAGGGAAUGACCGCAUGAUGACAUUAGUCGGUGAAUAAGCCCCGGCUAACUACGUGCCAGCAGCCGCGGUAA
RNAcentral lists this ribosomal RNA (504 nucleotides) under uncultured bacterium. RNAcentral's name for it is "partial 16S ribosomal RNA". It matches the Rfam family "Bacterial small subunit ribosomal RNA", at positions 29 to 523 of the family's 1533-position model. The record is from RNAcentral.